UACGUAGGAUGCAAGCGUUGUCCGGAUUUACUGGGCGUAAAGCGCGCGCAGGCGGCAGUGUAAGUAAGGUGUGAAAUCUCCCUGCUCAACGGGGAGGGUGCACUUUAGACUACACAGCUAGAGGUCGGUAGAGGGGGGUGGAAUUGCUGGUGUAGCGGUGAAAUGCGUAGAGAUCAGCAGGAACACCCGUGGCGAAGGCGGCCCCCUGGGCCGUACCUGACGCUGAGGCGCGAAGGCUAGGGGAG
Molecule: ribosomal RNA, 245 nt
Filed under: uncultured bacterium
Lineage: Bacteria
Description: partial 16S ribosomal RNA
Rfam family: Bacterial small subunit ribosomal RNA
Source: RNAcentral